Molecule: ribosomal RNA, 1401 nt
Filed under: Klebsiella pneumoniae
Lineage: Bacteria; Pseudomonadati; Pseudomonadota; Gammaproteobacteria; Enterobacterales; Enterobacteriaceae
Description: bacterial SSU rRNA
Rfam family: Bacterial small subunit ribosomal RNA
Source: RNAcentral
GUCGAGCGGUAGCACAGAGAGCUUGCUCUCGGGUGACGAGCGGCGGACGGGUGAGUAAUGUCUGGGAAACUGCCUGAUGGAGGGGGAUAACUACUGGAAACGGUAGCUAAUACCGCAUAAUGUCGCAAGACCAAAGUGGGGGACCUUCGGGCCUCAUGCCAUCAGAUGUGCCCAGAUGGGAUUAGCUAGUAGGUGGGGUAACGGCUCACCUAGGCGACGAUCCCUAGCUGGUCUGAGAGGAUGACCAGCCACACUGGAACUGAGACACGGUCCAGACUCCUACGGGAGGCAGCAGUGGGGAAUAUUGCACAAUGGGCGCAAGCCUGAUGCAGCCAUGCCGCGUGUGUGAAGAAGGCCUUCGGGUUGUAAAGCACUUUCAGCGGGGAGGAAGGCGUUAAGGUUAAUAACCUUGUCGAUUGACGUUACCCGCAGAAGAAGCACCGGCUAACUCCGUGCCAGCAGCCGCGGUAAUACGGAGGGUGCAAGCGUUAAUCGGAAUUACUGGGCGUAAAGCGCACGCAGGCGGUCUGUCAAGUCGGAUGUGAAAUCCCCGGGCUCAACCUGGGAACUGCAUUCGAAACUGGCAGGCUAGAGUCUUGUAGAGGGGGGUAGAAUUCCAGGUGUAGCGGUGAAAUGCGUAGAGAUCUGGAGGAAUACCGGUGGCGAAGGCGGCCCCCUGGACAAAGACUGACGCUCAGGUGCGAAAGCGUGGGGAGCAAACAGGAUUAGAUACCCUGGUAGUCCACGCCGUAAACGAUGUCGAUUUGGAGGUUGUGCCCUUGAGGCGUGGCUUCCGGAGCUAACGCGUUAAAUCGACCGCCUGGGGAGUACGGCCGCAAGGUUAAAACUCAAAUGAAUUGACGGGGGCCCGCACAAGCGGUGGAGCAUGUGGUUUAAUUCGAUGCAACGCGAAGAACCUUACCUGGUCUUGACAUCCACAGAACUUUCCAGAGAUGGAUUGGUGCCUUCGGGAACUGUGAGACAGGUGCUGCAUGGCUGUCGUCAGCUCGUGUUGUGAAAUGUUGGGUUAAGUCCCGCAACGAGCGCAACCCUUAUCCUUUGUUGCCAGCGGUUAGGCCGGGAACUCAAAGGAGACUGCCAGUGAUAAACUGGAGGAAGGUGGGGAUGACGUCAAGUCAUCAUGGCCCUUACGACCAGGGCUACACACGUGCUACAAUGGCAUAUACAAAGAGAAGCGACCUCGCGAGAGCAAGCGGACCUCAUAAAGUAUGUCGUAGUCCGGAUUGGAGUCUGCAACUCGACUCCAUGAAGUCGGAAUCGCUAGUAAUCGUAGAUCAGAAUGCUACGGUGAAUACGUUCCCGGGCCUUGUACACACCGCCCGUCACACCAUGGGAGUGGGUUGCAAAAGAAGUAGGUAGCUUAACCUUCGGGAGGGCGCU